UACGGAGGGAGCUAGCGUUAUUUGGAAUUACUGGGCGUAAAGCGUACGUAGGCGGCUUUGCAAGUUAGAGGUGAAAGCCUGGAGCUCAACUCCAGAACUGCCUUUAAAACUGCAUCGCUUGAAUCCAGGAGAGGUGAGUGGAAUUCCGAGUGUAGAGGUGAAAUUCGUAGAUAUUCGGAAGAACACCAGUGGCGAAGGCGGCUCACUGGACUGGUAUUGACGCUGAGGUACGAAAGCGUGGGGAGCAAACAGG
Molecule: ribosomal RNA, 253 nt
Filed under: uncultured bacterium
Lineage: Bacteria
Description: partial 16S ribosomal RNA
Rfam family: Bacterial small subunit ribosomal RNA
Source: RNAcentral